GGUGAACGCUGGCGGUAGGCCUAACACAUGCAAGUCGAACGGCAGCACAGUAAGAGCUUGCUCUUACGGGUGGCGAGUGGCGGACGGGUGCGGAAUACAUCGGAAUCUACUUUUUCGUGGGGGAUAACGUAGGGAAACUUACGCUAAUACCGCAUACGACCUACGGGUGAAAGCAGGGGAUCUUCGGACCUUGCGCGAUUGAAUGAGCCGAUGUCGGAUUAGCUAGUUGGCGGGGUAAAGGCCCACCAAGGCGACGAUCCGUAGCUGGUCUGAGAGGAUGAUCAGCCACACUGGAACUGAGACACGGUCCAGACUCCUACGGGAGGCAGCAGUGGGGAAUAUUGGACAAUGGGCGCAAGCCUGAUCCAGCUAUACCGCGUGGGUGAAGAGGGCCUUCGGGUUGUAAAGCCCUUUUGUUGGGAAAGAAAAGCAGCAGGUUAAUACCCCGCUGUUCUGACGGUACCCAAAGAAUAAGCACCGGCUAACUUCGUG
This 492-nucleotide ribosomal RNA is filed under the name uncultured bacterium. RNAcentral describes it as "partial 16S ribosomal RNA". It matches the Rfam family "Bacterial small subunit ribosomal RNA", at positions 28 to 507 of the family's 1533-position model. The record is from RNAcentral.